UUGAGAGACCUGGAGUGGUCUCGGUACGUUGAGACAAUCUUCUCUUCGCCUGUGCCUUCUGUGUCCCUCUUUUUUAAGCUGACGAGAGCCCUCCUGGGGAGGAAAUUUUCAAUUUUUGGCCUCAGCCCCAAAGAGAAUAUACUUCCAUGAGAUUUUCAAGAUCGCUUUAUGGCUGAGGAUUUGAAUUUUUGCAUUUGAGGGUCAAGGACAAUAGUGGUAUUAUUAUGGCUUUUUAAAAAAACACUUCAAGCAAAUUCCGGUCAUCUCUGGGAGGCAAACUUUGAACAUCUCGGCAGUCCCCAAGGAGAACAAUCUUCUGUAACUUUGAAGCCAAAUGGGAUUUCUGAAAAGGAAGCUACAGUCAAUUGAAAACUCUCAGUGGAGCGUGAAGGGCAGAGGAGUCCCCGCGGUGGGCCGCAGCUGAGCUCGCCCAGGCUGGACGUGCCCUUCCCGGCUGGAGAGAGACCGCACAGACAGCACAGUAGGCGUGCUGGAGGCUGCACGGGCCUCCGACCAGACCCUCUGCUCGGAGACCAGCUCAGAAGACCAAGUAUUUCUUCCUCGAUCUUUGCUAUGGGCUUGGCUGUUUUCAAAUGACUUUAGGUGACUAAGACAGAAAAGACAGGCAAAAGAAAAACAAAGUGAGACUCUGCCCACCUUCUCCCCAGCAAAGAUGCUCUGGGAUAUAGCAGAAACAAAGAGAUGAGGGCUGGCUCUGUCUUCCCAGCAAUGUCUGCAGUGGGAAAGUGGCCGUAAGAAAUGGCAAUCGGAUGGCAUUGCCAGAAUGGAAAAGGCAAACUCAGGUACCUGUGACGUGACAGGAAGUGGAUGAGCCAACUGGGGCGAUCAUCCACAGUCCAGAUUGGAAUGAGCAAAUGAGACAUACUGAUCCCUCAUCAAAUCAUGGCUCUUUGGGUCAUGAUCAGUAAAAUGAAGAAAGGUUACUAGGCAACCAUGACAGAUUUCCUCAAUGUCAGCGAUGAGAGUAAUGGAGGAGACUAAUGGACUAAGGGCACCAGCAGCAGCCUUUGCAGUUUGACUACAAUACAACUGGCCACACUGGGAAGGAGCCAGGGAUGGACAAAGCAGCUGAUGGCGCCAGUGCCCAUCCUGGAUACAGCCCUACCUCCUUAUCCUCUUCUGCAUCUUGUUACUGGUUGUUUAGAGAAAGUGGAGAUAGUUCUCACCCUUUGAGAAAAAGUGUCAUCAAAAGACUGUCUGGUGCAGCUCAGGAGAGGAGAGCCAUAAAGAAGCUGCUUUGUGGAUGUGGCCCUAGAGGCUGGUUCCCUGGAUGGUCUCCCGAAGGUUCGACUACCCAGCUCCCAUACCUAUGCUCCAAACUCUUUCCCAAUGGAAGGAGAGUCUAGAAAGAGUCUUGUAACCCUCAGCAAUUGAAUCUGGAGCUAAGAUACCUGUGACUGGGCACAGCCACCUGUCAGAGACACCCAAGGCUCUGUUCGCCCACACAGCAGACUUUUUGGUGGAGCUGUUGGCCUGGCACUCAUACAACCCUUGGCCACCAUGGAGACUACUGGUCUCCUCGUCCUCAUAGGGGUCAGCCUUGAACUCCCGCCUGGUUUCAAUCUACUGCUGCACCCUGCUGAAGUCGUCUACCUGAAGGGAGAGCCCACUGCUGAAACUCCCACCUCUCCAGGCCUACAGCCUUUUGGCUGAUACUGGUCAGUUUCUUGUUUCUUAUCUUUAGGCCAUAAUUUGGCUCCUUCAGGGUGAAAGGGGCCUCCCAGUCAGAAGACAUCCUGCAGCUCCUUUUCUGUUCUUAUCACCAAAAUGCCAUUCCAGAAGAUGAGGAAGGAGGGUGAGUGAGAGCAUCACAGUUCUUAUCACUCCCACCAAAAGACUGCACCCAGGCCCUUGAAGGCCUCCUUGGGAGCCAGAGAGGCCAAUGGGAGGGGAAGGAUGGCUGCCAGCUCUGUCACCCCUUAAGACACGGAUGGUCUGACCUCCUCCACAUCUUGAUUCCCUGGGCUGGUAUUUCAGUGGAAGCUGUUUUUCCCUUUCUGGGGGCAGUUGGGGGAAAAGAACACAAUUGCCCAUCCAAGCUCCUCCUUCCUCCUUGUCUUUAUGUGGAGGGAACUGAUGUGUCAUGGAUGAAAGAGAGUGCAUUUUAGAACCAGGCAAACCGACUUUGAUCUAUUUGCCAUCAGAAGUGUCCUAGAACUUUCUGAGACUCAGUUUCUUCAUCUGUAAAAGAAUAACAAAAAUACCACUUGCUAUGGUAGUUUUGAGGAUGCGAUGAGAUGACAUUUUUCAUUUUUAGAACAAAAGCACCACGACACAUUCCUUUCGUGGAGUGAGGGACAACCAAGCUCCUGCGUGGUUCCACCUUCCAGGAAAAGGGAUUUAUUUCCAUUUUCAGCAUUUAUUAGUACAUUUGCUGCUCUAAGAAAUUGUUGUAGAUCUUUUGCCAGCUAAAGUUGCUCAAAAAGAUUCAUACAACUGAAUCCUGAUUCUUUUUCCUGGCUGCAAAAUAAUUUUAGCACUCUCUCACAUAAUAAUUUUUACUCGUAUUUAACAGCUUUAUUGAGGUAUAAUAGACAUGAAGUAAACUACAUGCGUUUAAAGUGUGCAAGCUGAUCAACUUUGGCCCAUGCAGACAUCUGUGAAGUCAUUGCCAAGUGAGAACAAUGAGCACAUCCAAACCUUCCUCACACCCCUUUGUUCCUCCUCCCUCCCACCUCCCCACCCCACCUUUAGGCAACCGCUGA
This is a long non-coding RNA of Prionailurus viverrinus (fishing cat), 2726 nucleotides long. RefSeq lists it as uncharacterized. Lineage: Eukaryota; Metazoa; Chordata; Mammalia; Carnivora; Felidae. The transcript has 3 exons. The record is from RefSeq and is a predicted model, not a curated record.